GCUGGGUAUGGUGGUGUGCACCUGUAGUCCCAGCUACUUGGGAGGCUGAGGUAGGAGGUUCGCUCGAGUCCAGGAGGUUGAGGCUGCAGUGAGCCAUGAGUAUGUCACUGCACUCCAGCCUGGGCCACAGAGGGAGACCCUGUCUCAA
RNAcentral lists this non-coding RNA (148 nucleotides) under Gorilla gorilla gorilla (western lowland gorilla). The record is from Rfam by way of RNAcentral. Lineage: Eukaryota; Metazoa; Chordata; Mammalia; Primates; Hominidae.